UACGUAGGGUGCGAGCGUUAAUCGGAAUUACUGGGCGUAAAGCGUGCGCAGGCGGUUCGUUGUGUCGGCGGUGAAAGCCCCGGGCUUAACCUGGGAAUGGCCGUUGAAACUGGCGAACUGGAGUGUGGCAGAGGGGGGUGGAAUUCCGCGUGUAGCAGUGAAAUGCGUAGAUAUGCGGAGGAACACCGAUGGCGAAGGCAAUCCCCUGGGCCUGCACUGACGCUCAUGCACGAAAGCGUGGGGAGCGAACAGG
This 253-nucleotide ribosomal RNA is filed under the name uncultured bacterium. RNAcentral describes it as "partial 16S ribosomal RNA". It matches the Rfam family "Bacterial small subunit ribosomal RNA", at positions 524 to 776 of the family's 1533-position model. The record is from RNAcentral.